CAGUCCUCCCAGCUGGGCUGGGGAAGACCGCUCUCCUGGCAUAGGGAUAGUACCUGCUAAGGUAAUGUAUUGUAAAGCUCCCACUUAGCUGCUGGAGUAGGAAGGUUUUGGCUGUAAGUCCACUUUAUGGAAAUGGGA
Long non-coding RNA from Gavialis gangeticus (Gharial), 138 nucleotides. RefSeq lists it as uncharacterized. NCBI's taxonomy places the organism in Eukaryota, Metazoa, Chordata, Crocodylia, Gavialidae. The record is from RefSeq and is a predicted model, not a curated record. The transcript is spliced from 3 exons.